GAAUUCAACUCCUACGGGAGGCAGCAGUGGGGAAUAUUGGACAAUGGGGGGAACCCUGAUCCAGCCAUGCCGCGUGUGUGAAGAAGGCCUUUUGGUUGUAAAGCACUUUAAGCGAGGAGGAGGCUACUGGUAUUAAUACUACCGGAUAGUGGACGUUACUCGCAGAAUAAGCACCGGCUAACUCUGUGCCAGCAGCCGCGGUAAUACAGAGGGUGCGAGCGUUAAUCGGAUUUACUGGGCGUAAAGCGUGCGUAGGCGGCUUUUUAAGUCGGAUGUGAAAUCCCUGAGCUUAACUUAGGAAUUGCAUUCGAUACUGGGAGGCUAGAGUAUGGGAGAGGAUGGUAGAAUUCCAGGUGUAGCGGUGAAAUGCGUAGAGAUCUGGAGGAAUACCGAUGGCGAAGGCAGCCAUCUGGCCUAAUACUGACGCUGAGGUACGAAAGCAUGGGGAGCAAACAGGAUUAGAAACCCUAGUAGUCCAGGCGUU
RNAcentral lists this ribosomal RNA (484 nucleotides) under uncultured bacterium. RNAcentral describes it as "bacterial SSU rRNA". It matches the Rfam family "Bacterial small subunit ribosomal RNA", at positions 328 to 803 of the family's 1533-position model. The record is from RNAcentral.